This 191-nucleotide non-coding RNA is filed under the name Pseudoxanthomonas dokdonensis. Its description in RNAcentral is "FMN sequence". It matches the Rfam family "FMN riboswitch aptamer (RFN element)". From Rfam's summary of the family: The RFN element is a highly conserved domain that is found frequently in the 5'-untranslated regions of prokaryotic mRNAs that encode for flavin mononucleotide (FMN) biosynthesis and transport proteins. The record is from Rfam by way of RNAcentral. Lineage: Bacteria; Pseudomonadati; Pseudomonadota; Gammaproteobacteria; Lysobacterales; Lysobacteraceae.
UAACGUCUUCAGGGCGGGGUGGAAUUCCCCACCGGCGGUAGGUUUCCGGCAGCAAACGUUGCCAGUUACAAGCCCGCGAGCGCUUUCGGGAAUCUUCCCGGAAGGUCAGCAGAUCCGGUCCGAUGCCGGAGCCGACGGUCCGGCUUUGCUGCCUGCAGCAGAGCCCAUAGUCCGGAUGAAAGAAGACAGAA